Molecule: ribosomal RNA, 270 nt
Filed under: uncultured bacterium
Lineage: Bacteria
Description: partial 16S ribosomal RNA
Rfam family: Bacterial small subunit ribosomal RNA
Source: RNAcentral
AACGAACGCUGGCGGCAUGCCUAACACAUGCAAGUCGAACGCCUGUAGCAAUACAGGAGUGGCGGACGGGUGAGUAACACGUGGGAAUCUACCCAGUAGCCUGGAAUAACCGCGGGAAACUGCGGCUAAUACCGGAUACGCCCCGAGGGGGAAAGGAGCAAUCCACUAUUGGAGGAGCCCGCGCCCGAUUAGCUAGUUGGUGAGGUAAUGGCUCACCAAGGCGAUGAUCGGUAGCUGGUCUGAGAGGACGACCAGCCACACUGGGACUGA